AUGGGUAGUACAGGUCUUGGCAAAGAGCAGUACAGAAAUAGUGAGAAAGAAAUAUGCAAGCUUGUACUGAUGGGAAUGGAACAAAAAGAUAUGAUUUCUUGGAACAAUUCAACAUGGGGGAUAAGGAGUAGCAUCAACUUGUGGGUUGCAUCAACGAAGUACGGAAGCUUGCAGCUGCCGAUGAUGCAAGGACAGAAACAUCAACAGAUGUCAUUUUCGGCAAGGCAUCUAAUCCACCGUGUCAUUGUCCUAAGCAAGGCAAGCAAACAAGCACCAUAUGGUGGUCACGCAAAAAUUAAACCUACACCCAUCCAGCGAGAAGCUCGAAAGAUGGCAACAUCAACGCUGACAAGAGCUGUUCCUGUUGGCGGUGGAUCCCACCGUUGAACAUGGACGC
RNAcentral lists this long non-coding RNA (397 nucleotides) under Oryza sativa Indica Group (long-grained rice). RNAcentral describes it as "lncRNA OsMH63_03G021130". Lineage: Eukaryota; Viridiplantae; Streptophyta; Magnoliopsida; Poales; Poaceae. The record is from RNAcentral.